AGAGUUUGAUCCUGGCUCAGGAUGAACGCUAGCUACAGGCUUAACACAUGCAAGUCGAGGGGAAACGACAUCGAAAGCUUGCUUUUGAUGGGCGUCGACCGGCGCACGGGUGAGUAACGCGUAUCCAACCUGCCCAUCACUUGGGGAUAACCUUGCGAAAGUAAGACUAAUACCCAAUGAUAUCUCUAGAAGGCAUCUGAAAGAGAUUAAAGAUUUAUCGGUGAUGGAUGGGGAUGCGUCUGAUUAGCGUUGUUGGCGGGGUAACGGCCACCAAAGCAACGAUCAGUAGGGGUUCUGGAGAGGAACGGUCCCCANAUUGGAACUGAGACACGGUCCAAACUCCUACGGGAGGCA
This 354-nucleotide ribosomal RNA is filed under the name uncultured bacterium. Its description in RNAcentral is "bacterial SSU rRNA". It matches the Rfam family "Bacterial small subunit ribosomal RNA", at positions 8 to 350 of the family's 1533-position model. The record is from RNAcentral.